GGGCACCCUGAUCCAGCAAUGCCGCGUGUGUGAAGAAGGCCUUCGGGUUGUAAAGCACUUUUGUCCGGAAAGAAAACCAUCGCCCUAAUAUGGUGGUGGGAUGACGGUACCGGAAGAAUAAGCACCGGCUAACUACGUGCCAGCAGCCGCGGUAAUACGUAGGGUGCGAGCGUUAAUCGGAAUUACUGGGCGUAAAGCGUGCGCAGGCGGUCUGUUAAGACCGAUGUGAAAUCCCCGGGCUUAACCUGGGAACUGCAUUGGUGACUGGCAGGCUUUGAGUGUGGCAGAGGGGGGUAGAAUUCCACGUGUAGCAGUGAAAUGCGUAGAGAUGUGGAGGAAUACCGAUGGCGAAGGCAGCCCCCUGGGCCAACACUGACGCUCAUGCACGAAAGCGUGGGGAGCAAACAGGAUUAGAUACCCUGGUAGUCCACGCCCUAAACGAUGUCAACUAGUUGUUGGGGAUUCAUUUCCUUAGUAACGUAGCUAACGCGUGAAGUUGACCGCCUGGGGAGUACGGUCGCAAGAUUAAAACUCAAAGGAAUUGACGGGGACCCGCACAAGCGGUGGAUGAUGUGGAUUAAUUCGAUGCAACGCGAAAAACCUUACCUACCCUUGACAUGGUCGGAAUCCCGCUGAGA
This 638-nucleotide ribosomal RNA is filed under the name Burkholderia sp. IBb355. Its description in RNAcentral is "bacterial SSU rRNA". It matches the Rfam family "Bacterial small subunit ribosomal RNA", at positions 376 to 1006 of the family's 1533-position model. The record is from RNAcentral. Lineage: Bacteria; Pseudomonadati; Pseudomonadota; Betaproteobacteria; Burkholderiales; Burkholderiaceae.